GCGGCUGGAAGAGCACCGCACG
This 22-nucleotide small nuclear RNA is filed under the name Arabidopsis thaliana (thale cress). RNAcentral's name for it is "snRNA_13486". The record is from RNAcentral. Lineage: Eukaryota; Viridiplantae; Streptophyta; Magnoliopsida; Brassicales; Brassicaceae.